GAGGAAAGAAGAAGAGUGAGUCAAUUUUGGCCAGGAGAAUAAAGCGCAAUUGGCCGUGAUUUUCGCGAUAAAGAAAGCACUUGUCUGCAGCUGCUUGAAAGCAAUUAAUUCAUAAACCUAAAUCAUGGCCCUUCGCUUGACUCAAAGAUUGCUGCAGACGCAGACGCCGUUCCUCACUCGCGGAUACCCUUUGCUGGUGACCAAGGAGAAGACCGAGGAUGUGGCCCACACCAAAUCGGCGCUGCAAAAGAAGCUCACAGGCACUGAUAUUCCCUCGGCUCAGUACGGUGGACGCCAUGGAGUCACCAUGCUUCCAGGAGGUGGCAUCGGUCCGGAACUGAUGACCUACGUGCGCGAGAUUUUCCGUUACUGCGGCGCCCCCAUCGACUUCGAGGUGAUUGAUAUCGAUCCCUCAACUGAAGGCAACGACGACUUGGAGUACGCCAUCACUUCUAUCAAAAGAAACGGCGUGGCGCUCAAGGGCAACAUCGAGACCAAGUCCCAGAGCUUGACCGAAGUCUCCCGCAACGUGGCCAUCCGCAAUGAGCUUGAUCUCUACGUGAACGUGGUGCACUGCAAAUCGUAUCCUGGUAUUCCCGCACGCCACCAAAACAUUGAUAUUGUCCUCAUCCGCCAAAACACCGAUGGCGAGUACGCUAUGCUGGAGCAUGAGUCCGUCAAGGGAGUGGUGGAGAGCAUGAAGGUGGUCACCGUGGAGAACGCUGAGCGUGUGGCUCGGUAUGCCUUUGAAUACGCCCGCCAGAACAACCGCAAGAAGGUAACCACCAUUCAUAAGGCGAACAUCAUGAAGCUGUCCGAUGGUCUCUUCCUCGAAGUGGCGAACCGCGUUCACAAGGACUAUCCCGAGCUGGAGCACAACAACAUGAUUAUCGACAACACCUGCAUGCAGGCCGUGUCGAAUCCCCAUCAAUUCGAUGUGAUGAACAUGACCAACCUGUACGGCACCAUUGUGUCCAACGUCAUCUGUGGUCUGAUCGGCGGAGCCGGUCUCAUUUCAGGAAGGAAUUACGGUGAUCAUUACGCCAUCUUCGAGCCAGGCACCCGAAACACAGGCACCGCCAUCGCUGGAAAGAACAUCGCCAAUCCCGUAGCCAUGAUCAGCGCCAGUAUCGACAUGCUGAACCAUCUUGGCCACAAGGAGCACGCCAAGGUUAUUCAAGAUGCCACCUACCAGACCAUCGUCGAAGAUGCCAUUCGUACACCUGAUCUGGGCGGUAACCACUCCAGCACUGAUGUUGUUGAGAACAUACUCAAAAUCCUGAGUGCCAAGCGCGUGAAUUGGCCACAUGGAAAUUAUUUUAGCCAAUUUUAGGCAAUAUCGUACAAGAAUAAACACUCAACCAACCGCUAACAAAACUCAGCAAGAUAAACCAAAUCGAACUAAGCAUAAUACCAAACCAAUCAAAAUUAUAUUAACCCCACAACUAAGCCAAUUUGAGAAAUCUUGUUCCCCAAGCCAAUGCAUUCAGCGUUAAUGUGAUGCCCCGAAAGAAUCGGUUUAAUAAAGUUGAGGUCGAAUUAUUCCGCUGAUUAACCAAAUCCAAUAAUAUCCCGGCUAUAUGUCCAUUGUGUGUUCGUUCGAUGUCAAAGUGUGAUAAAUCAGAUCUACUUGCCGGUCCCGCUCUAAUUUUCUGCACACUGACUUUUUUUUCUUUAUUGAGCUCCAUUUCUACUUCCUCUACUCUAUUUUACUAUCCUAAGUUAAAAGAAAACAUGUAUAACAGAAAGAACACAGUCGAAAUAAUUAUUUUCCCCGAGAUUCGACCAAAGCGAUAUUAAUUUGUAACUUAAUUCUUUUAAAAAUUGUAAUAUUGAGAAGCAAAUUCAAACAAAAUGUAUUAUUCUGUUCGAAUAUUUAUUAGUAAAAGAGACAAUUAAACAAAGACAACUCUGUA
This 1916-nucleotide unclassified non-coding RNA is filed under the name Drosophila ananassae. RNAcentral describes it as "GF16768". Lineage: Eukaryota; Metazoa; Arthropoda; Insecta; Diptera; Drosophilidae. The record is from RNAcentral.